RNAcentral lists this ribosomal RNA (460 nucleotides) under uncultured bacterium. Its description in RNAcentral is "partial 16S ribosomal RNA". It matches the Rfam family "Bacterial small subunit ribosomal RNA", at positions 338 to 795 of the family's 1533-position model. The record is from RNAcentral.
CCUACGGGUGGCAGCAGUGAGGAAUAUUGGUCAAUGGGCGUAAGCCUGAACCAGCCAAGUCGCGUGAGGGAUGAAGGUCCUAUGGAUCGUAAACCCUUUUUAUAAGGGAAUAAAGUGCGGGACGUGUCCCGUUUUGUAUGUACCUUACGAACAAGGAUCGGCUAACCCCGUGCCAGCAGCCGCGGUAAUACGGAGGGUCCGAGCGUUAUCCGGAUUUAUUGGGUUUAAAGGGUGCGUAGGCGGCCUUUUAAGUCAGCGGUGAAAGUCUGUGGCUCAACCAUGGAAUUGCCGUGGAAACUGGGAGGCUGGAGUGUGUUAGAGGCAGGCGGAAUGCGUGGUGUAGCGGUGAAAUGCGUAGAUAUCGCGCGGAACCCCGGUGGCGAAGGCGGCCUGCCAGGCCAUGACUGACGCUGAUGCGCGAAAGCGUGGGGAUCAAACAGGAUUAGAUACCCCUGUAGUC